RNAcentral lists this unclassified non-coding RNA (227 nucleotides) under uncultured fungus. Its description in RNAcentral is "sequence contains ITS1, 5.8S rRNA gene". The stretch from base 179 to 227 matches the Rfam family "5.8S ribosomal RNA", at positions 1 to 49 of the family's 154-position model. Lineage: Eukaryota; Fungi. The record is from RNAcentral.
UCUCCGUAGGUGAACCUGCGGAGGGAUCAUUACUGAGUGAGGGCCCCCGGCCCGACCUCCAACCCUUUGUGUAUCUCGACCCUGUUGCCUCGGGGGCGACCCGGCCUUCGGGCGUCGGGGCCCCCGGGGGAAAUCAAACACUGCGUCAAUUUGUGUCGGAGUACUUGUUAAUAAACAAAACUUUCAACAACGGAUCUCUUGGUUCUGGCAUCGAUGAAGAACGCAGC